Molecule: ribosomal RNA, 600 nt
Filed under: uncultured bacterium
Lineage: Bacteria
Description: bacterial SSU rRNA
Rfam family: Bacterial small subunit ribosomal RNA
Source: RNAcentral
GUAACACAUGCAAGUCGAACGCCCCUUCGGGGGAGUGGCAGACGGGUGAGUAACGCGUGGGAAUCUACCCAACCCUACGGAACAACUCGAGGAAACUUGAGCUAAUACCGUAUACGCCCUUUUGGGGAAAGAUUUAUCGGGGAUGGAUGAGCCCGCGUUUGAUUAGCUAGUUGGUGGGGUAAUGGCCUACCAAGGCGACGAUCAAUAGCUGGUCUGAGAGGAUGAUCAGCCACAUUGGGACUGAGACACGGCCCAAACUCCUACGGGAGGCAGCAGUGGGGAAUAUUGGACAAUGGGGGCAACCCUGAUCCAGCCAUGCCGCGUGAGUGAUGAAGGCCCUAGGGUUGUAAAGCUCUUUCAACGGUGAAGAUAAUGACGGUAACCGUAGAAGAAGCCCCGGCUAACUUCGUGCCAGCAGCCGCGGUAAUACGAAGGGGGCUAGCGUUGUUCGGAUUUACUGGGCGUAAAGCGCACGUAGGCGGAUCGUUAAGUGAGGGGUGAAAUCCCGGGGCUCAACCCCGGAACUGCCUCUCAUACUGGCGAUCUGGAGUUCGAGAGAGGUGAGUGGAAUUCCGAGUGUAGAGGUGAAAUUCGUAGAUA